GACGAACGCUGGCGGCGCGCCUAACACAUGCAAGUCGAACGAGCGAGAGAGAGCUUGCUUUCUCGAGCGAGUGGCGAACGGGUGAGUAACGCGUGAGGAACCUGCCUCAAAGAGGGGGACAACAGUUGGAAACGACUGCUAAUACCGCAUAAGCCCACGGCUCGGCAUCGAGCAGAGGGAAAAGGAGCAAUCCGCUUUGAGAUGGCCUCGCGUCCGAUUAGCUAGUUGGUGAGGUAACGGCCCACCAAGGCAACGAUCGGUAGCCGGACUGAGAGGUUGAACGGCCACAUUGGGACUGAGACACGGCCCAGACUCCUACGGGAGGCAGCAGUGGGGAAUAUUGCACAAUGGGGGAAACCCUGAUGCAGCGACGCCGCGUGGAGGAAGAAGGUCUUCGGAUUGUAAACUCCUGUU
RNAcentral lists this ribosomal RNA (414 nucleotides) under uncultured bacterium. RNAcentral's name for it is "bacterial SSU rRNA". It matches the Rfam family "Bacterial small subunit ribosomal RNA", at positions 28 to 437 of the family's 1533-position model. The record is from RNAcentral.